GUGGGGAAUCUUCCGCAAUGGACGAAAGUCUGACGGAGCAACGCCGCGUGAGUGAUGAAGGUCUUCGGAUUGUAAAGCUCUGUUAAUCGGGACGAAAGAGCCUAGUGUGAAUAAUGCUAGGAAGUGACGGUACCGGAAUAGAAAGCCACGGCUAACUACGUGCCAGCAGCCGCGGUAAUACGUAGGUGGCAAGCGUUGUCCGGAAUUAUUGGGCGUAAAGCGCGCGAAGGCGGAUCUGCCAGUCUGUCUUAAAAGUUCGGGGCUUAACCCCGUGAUGGGAUGGAAACUACAGAUCUAGAGUAUCGGAGAGGAAAGUGGAAUUCCUAGUGUAGCGGUGAAAUGCGUAGAUAUUAGGAAGAACACCAGUGGCGAAGGCGACUUUCUGGACGAAAACUGACGCUGAGGCGCGAAAGCCAGGGGAGCGAACGGGAUUAGAUACCCUUGUAGUCC
Molecule: ribosomal RNA, 450 nt
Filed under: uncultured bacterium
Lineage: Bacteria
Description: partial 16S ribosomal RNA
Rfam family: Bacterial small subunit ribosomal RNA
Source: RNAcentral